Molecule: ribosomal RNA, 226 nt
Filed under: uncultured bacterium
Lineage: Bacteria
Description: partial 16S ribosomal RNA
Rfam family: Bacterial small subunit ribosomal RNA
Source: RNAcentral
GCGUUACUCGGAAUUACUGGGCGUAAAGCGUGCGUAGGCGGUUUGUUAAGUUCGUUGUGAAAGCCCUGGGCUCAACCUGGGAAUUGCAGUGGAUACUGGCGAGCUAGAGUGCGGUAGAGGAUGGUGGAAUUCCCGGUGUAGCGGUGAAAUGCGUAGAGAUCGGGAGGAACACCCGUGGCGAAGGCGGCCAUCUGGACCAGCACUGACGCUGAGGCACGAAAGCGUG